GACGAACGCUGGCGGCGUGCUUAACACAUGCAAGUCGAACGGAAAGGCCCUGCUUGCAGGGUACUCGAGUGGCGAACGGGUGAGUAACACGUGGGUGAUCUGCCCUGCACUUCGGGAUAAGCCUGGGAAACUGGGUCUAAUACCGGAUAGGAGCCAUUUUUAGUGUGAUGGUUGGAAAGUUUUUUCGGUGUAGGAUGAGCUCGCGGCCUAUCAGCUUGUUGGUGGGGUAAUGGCCUACCAAGGCGGCGACGGGUAGCCGGCCUGAGAGGGUGGACGGCCACAUUGGGACUGAGAUAAGGCCCAGACUCCUACGGGAGGCAGCAGUGGGGAAGAUUGCACAAUGGGCGCAAGCCUGAUGCAGCGACGCCGCGUGGGGGAUGACGGCCUUCGGGUUGUAAACUCCUUUCGCUAGGGACGAAGCUUUUUGUGACGGUACCUAGAGAAGAAGCACCGGCUAACUACGUG
RNAcentral lists this ribosomal RNA (465 nucleotides) under uncultured bacterium. Its description in RNAcentral is "partial 16S ribosomal RNA". It matches the Rfam family "Bacterial small subunit ribosomal RNA", at positions 28 to 507 of the family's 1533-position model. The record is from RNAcentral.